AAGUCGUAACAAGGUUUUCCUUCCGGUUAAAGCUUUUAACCCACUGAAGCCUGACAUGGCGACUAUAAACAAACCAUGGAGUCUUACCCCCGAGUAGGACGAUGCCGCUGAAUUGCUGUGAUCAACCAUUGUUGUACCAGCAGCCCUGACAUGGGGGCCCACAGAUCAAGCCGCGGCGGUCUUGCCUAGGAUAGCUAGGUAGGACUUUAAUAUGACCGGUCUCGCCUGAGAUGGUUGAGAGUUGACGUUCCGUAGGUGAACCUGCGGAAGGAUCAUUACCGAGUUAGGGUCUUCUAGGCC
RNAcentral lists this unclassified non-coding RNA (300 nucleotides) under Herpotrichiellaceae sp. RNAcentral describes it as "partial contains small subunit ribosomal RNA and internal transcribed spacer 1". The record is from RNAcentral. Lineage: Eukaryota; Fungi; Ascomycota; Eurotiomycetes; Chaetothyriales; Herpotrichiellaceae.